RNAcentral lists this long non-coding RNA (327 nucleotides) under Elaeis guineensis (African oil palm). RNAcentral describes it as "long non-coding RNA (EGUI_LNC057128)". The record is from RNAcentral. Lineage: Eukaryota; Viridiplantae; Streptophyta; Magnoliopsida; Arecales; Arecaceae.
GCUAAGUAUUUAAAGGGGGGUGCGCCGGGGGAUUGGAUUGAUUCAGAUUUCCAAUUCCUCCUUUCUUUCUAAUAUCCUCUCCCUAUUGUCUAAUUAGUCUCUUCCUUCUCUUAUUAGGAUAAGUCCAAAAUAGAAAGGACAAGUCCGAUUUUAGGACAAGAGUCUAGGAAGAGAAUUAAGGAAGACAAGGAGAGAAGAAAGGUAGGGAUAGGAAGGCUAGGAGAAGAGGAAGAGCGUCUUGAGGUCCUGGUGUUCAAGAAAAUUCUCAGAGUGAAAAUUUUGGAGGAGGAAUCAUCUCAAAGAGUUGGUGUCCUAAUCAUAGCCCUG